UCUUUCCAAUCUCCUUAUGUUUCAGGUCUUGGAUCUCUUCCUGGGCUCCUGCACUGUGAUAUCCAUCUCACCCGCUUGUCUUGGACCUGUUCCUGGGCUCCUGCACUCUGAUAUCCAUCUCACCCGCUUGUCUUGGACCUGUUCUUGGGCUCCUGCACUCUGAUAUCCAUCUCACCCGCUUGUAAGUAUCUGUCACAGCAGGCGUAGAAACCUGGAGGUUUCGAACUUUUUCAAGUUUUUUUUUUUCUUUCAUUUGAAUGCAAACUAAAGUACUGUUUAUAUUCACCAUUUCUCAACGAAGCAUGCUUUUCUUUCAGAUCUGUUUAUACCAUUCCAUUCGUAAAGCAGCUGCAAAACGAUAUUUUGAAUUAUUCUAAAUGAAGUUUUGUUUACAGCAUCCUGUAGAUACCCCUCUUUCUGCACUUAGGGUCCAGUAAACGAUCAGAAGUGCUCGUA
Long non-coding RNA from Oreochromis aureus, 456 nucleotides. Lineage: Eukaryota; Metazoa; Chordata; Actinopteri; Cichliformes; Cichlidae. The record is from Ensembl.